UAGCCAUGCAUGUCUAAGUAUAAGCAACCAUACUGUGAAACUGCGAAUGGCUCAUUAAAUCAGUUAUCGUUUAUUUGAUAGUACCUUUUACCUGGAUAACCGUGGUAAUUCUAGAGCUAAUACAUGCUAAAAACCUCGACUUCGGAAGGGGUGUAUUUAUUAGAUAAAAAACCAAUGCCCUUUGGGCUCCUUGGUGAUUCAUAAUAACUUAGCGAAUCGCAUGGCCUUGCGCCGGCGAUGGUUCAUUCAAAUUUCUGCCCUAUCAACUUUCGAUUGUAAGAUAGAGGCUUACAAUGGUCGCGACGGGUGACGGAGAAUUAGGGUUCGAUUCCGGAGAGGGAGCCUGAGAAACGGCUACCACAUCCAAGGAAGGCAGCAGGCGCGCAAAUUACCCAAUCCCGAUACGGGGAGGUAGUGACAAUAAAUACUGAUACGGGGCUCUUUCGGGUCUCGUAAUUGGAAUGAGUACAAUCUAAAUCCCUUAACGAGGAACAAUUGGAGGGCGAGUCUGGUGCCAGCAGCCGCGGUAAUUCCAGCUCCAAUAGCGUAUAUUAAAGUUGUUGCCGUUAAAAAGCUCGUAGUUGAACCUUGGACCUGGCUGAUCUGUCCUCCUCAUCGAGCGCACGGAUUCGGUCGGGUCUUUCCUUCUGGGGAGCCCUAUGCCCUUCACUGGGUGUAGUGGGGAACCAGGACUUUUACCUUGAAAAAAUUAGAGUGUUCAAAGCAGGCCUUUGCUCGGAUACAUUAGCAUGGAAUAAUAGAAUAGGACAUCGGUUCUAUUUUGUUGGUUUCUAGGACCGCUGUAAUGAUUAAUAGGGAUAGUCGGGGGCGUCAGUAUUCAAUUGUCAGAGGUGAAAUUCUUGGAUUUAUUGAAGACUAACUACUGCGAAAGCAUUCGCCAAGGAUGUUUUCAU
Molecule: ribosomal RNA, 914 nt
Filed under: uncultured Ascomycota
Lineage: Eukaryota; Fungi; Ascomycota
Description: SSU rRNA
Rfam family: Eukaryotic small subunit ribosomal RNA
Source: RNAcentral